This 449-nucleotide ribosomal RNA is filed under the name uncultured bacterium. RNAcentral describes it as "partial 16S ribosomal RNA". It matches the Rfam family "Bacterial small subunit ribosomal RNA", at positions 29 to 523 of the family's 1533-position model. The record is from RNAcentral.
AACGAACGCUGGCGGCAUGCCUAACACAUGCAAGUCGAACGAGACCUUCGGGUCUAGUGGCGCACGGGUGCGUAACGCGUGGGAAUCUACCCUUGGGUUCGGAAUAACAGUUAGAAAUGACUGCUAAUACCGGAUGAUGACGUAAGUCCAAAGAUUUAUCGCCCAAGGAUGAGCCGGCGUAAGAUUAGCUUGUUGGUGGGGUAAUGGCCUACCAAGGCGACGAUCUUUAGCUGGUCUGAGAGGAUGAUCAGCCACACUGGGACUGAGACACGGCCCAGACUCCUACGGGAGGCAGCAGUGGGGAAUAUUGGACAAUGGGCGAAAGCCUGAUCCAGCAAUGCCGCGUGAGUGAUGAAGGCCUUAGGGUUGUAAAGCUCUUUUACCAGGGAUGAUAGUGACAGUACCUGGAGAAUAAGCUCCGGCUAACUCCGUGCCAGCAGCCGCAGUAA